This is an RNA transcript of Eucalyptus grandis, 1838 nucleotides long. It is a transcript of the gene named urease accessory protein F, with no coding region annotated. The transcript has 3 exons. The record is from RefSeq and is a predicted model, not a curated record. Lineage: Eukaryota; Viridiplantae; Streptophyta; Magnoliopsida; Myrtales; Myrtaceae.
GUUCACUCCCCGUUUCCUCGUUUCCACUUUCUCGCACGCAGUUCCGUCUGGACGCUCGACCCGAACUCGCACGUUCCUCUCCUCCUACUCCAACCGGGUCGCUCGUGCGGCUCGGCGACUACCGAAACAAGCUCUCCCACGGCCUUCCCGGUCUCAGUCCGAAUCAGCCGGUUGAGCUGGGCCCUCUUCGCACGCGGUUCGAGGGAUCGGCGAGCGCGACUAAAUCCCGAGUGACAACGAUGGAGAUUGAUAUGGAAAGGAGCAACAAUCGGAAAAGACCCGCUUCUAACGACUUGCCCCUGCAGUGGAGCCAGUGGCAGCUGCUCGAUUCCAUCCUUCCGACAGGGGGAUUUGUUCAUUCGUUUGGUCUAGAGGCUGCGUUACAAACCCGUGUGAUCACUGGGCCUGAAGAUCUUCAUACCUUUGCAAUGCACGUGUUGGAGAACACUGGCAGUUUACUCCUUCCUUUCGUCUACACUGCAAGCAAAUCGCCAAGUGCGGAUACUUUGUGUAAGCUCAACAGAAUGCUAGACGCGAUGCUAACUAAUGAAGUGGGCCGAAAAGCAUCUGUUGCUCAAGGAUCGGCACUGAUGAGGGUGGCUGCGUCUGUGUUUUCUGAAAUCCCGUCGCUUAAAAUGAUGAGAGAUAACUUUUUGAGGUCUGGAGCCAUUUCUUUUCACCAUGCUCCAAUCUUCGGGCUUGUAUUUGGACUUCUUGGGCUCGAGAGCGAGACAUGUCAGAGAGCCUUCAUGUUCAUUACUCUGAGAGAUAUUAUUUCUGCCGCUACUAGGCUGAACGUAGUUGGGCCGCUGGGAGCUGCUGUGUUGCAGCACCAGAUCGCUCAUGCUGCCGAAGCUAUUACAGAGAAAUGGAGUAACCGUGGUGUUGAAGAAGCAUGCCAAACAGUUCCUUUGCUCGACACUGUGCAGGGAUGCCAUGGCUACUUGUUUUCGAGGCUGUUCUGCUCGUAAUGACAUUCGUGCAUGUCCAUAAUGAUGGAUUCCUUUUUUAUGCUCACCAGCUGAUAUCGGAUGUGGAAUUAGAAAAACCUGCAUCUUCUUCAGCUGGGAGGAUCCUUGCUCAUGUUUUAUGUCAUAUCCUCCUGUUCGGCAAGGUCGCUCUAGUGUCAAAGGAAUCCCUCAGAACUCUUGUCUUCCCCACUUUGGAAGUUUUUUUGUGGCAUCGAUGACCGGUGACUGUCAAGAGGGGUGAGUGCUCCAUUUUUGGUACUGGUCUUGCAGUUUCUCUCUUGCACAAUUCGCAAGUCACCAUUUCGUUGCCUGUCUCGGGCAUUGGAUGGCGAUCGUUGCCAUUUGUCUCCGGAAUCAUUUGCAUUCGGGAGUGACCUCCGUGCGCCCACCCGAGACGAUCCCGUUUGCCAUUUGCCUUCGAAUUCGAAUAGUUUGACACGGUCGAACUGGGUCUGACGUGCCUCCACCUUCUACUCAGCGGCCUUGAUCUAAUCGAGCCUCUGCAAUUUCAGAAUCACCCUGUCGAGUGGCAUUUUCUCCCCGGUCGGAAUAGGUGGGUCGAUUCCAUGGGUGGUCUCGAAAUUGUGUUUUGGGCUAGGAGGAAGCUGCAAUGAGAAAUACCCAAGGAGAAAUUAUUGAGGUCCACCGUGUUAAUCACCCCGUGAAUGAAUUUUUCAGAGCCGGAAGAAACACCUAUCCCAAGUGGAAGAUAAUGAAGAUAACGAGACUCACGUCGAUCUCACUUGAUCUAAGGACCAUGUUCGACUAUGAUGGUCUCCAAUUUGUAGACCCGACUAACGUUGUUGGUUCCUUGAUUUAGAAUAAAGAAGAGGUGUGAUGGUAGCACGAUAUAUACAUUGCUUUGAA